Molecule: non-coding RNA, 216 nt
Organism: Pelobates cultripes (western spadefoot toad)
Lineage: Eukaryota; Metazoa; Chordata; Amphibia; Anura; Pelobatidae
Source: the annotation of a GenBank genome assembly
UAUUAUUAUUUUAUUAUUUAUAUAGCGCCAUCAGAUUCCGUAGCGCUGUACAAUGGGUGGACAAACAGACAUGUAAUUGUAACAAGACAACUGGACGUACAGGAACAGAGAGGUGGAGGGCCCUGCUCCAUGAGCUUACAUUCUAGAGGGAGUGGGGUAUAGUGACACAGAGGGGUACGAAGUAGGUUGUUAGAAAAGUAUUCACUGAGGGCUUAG